AUUGAACGCCGGCGGCAUGCUUUACACAUGCAAGUCGAACGGUAACAGGGUGCUUGCACCGCUGACGAGUGGCGAACGGGUGAGUAAUGCGUCGGAACGUGCCGAGUAGUGGGGGAUAACGCAGCGAAAGUUGUGCUAAUACCGCAUACGUACUGAGGUAGAAAGUGGGGGACCUUCGGGCCUCACGCUAUUCGAGCGGCCCACGUCUGAUUAGCUAGUAGGUGAGGUAAAGGCUCACCUAGGCGACGAUCAGUAGCGGGUCUGAGAGGAUGAUCCGCCACACUGGGACUGAGACACGGCCCAGACUCCUACGGGAGGCAGCAGUGGGGAAUUUUGGACAAUGGGCGAAAGCCUGAUCCAGCCAUGCCGCGUGUCUGAAGAAGGCCUUCGGGUUGUAAAGGACUUUUGUCAGGGAGGAAAUCCCUAGUGCUAAUAACACUGGGGGAUGACAGUACCUGAAGAAUAAGCACCGGCUAACUACGUGCCAGCAGCCGCCGUAA
Molecule: ribosomal RNA, 500 nt
Filed under: uncultured bacterium
Lineage: Bacteria
Description: partial 16S ribosomal RNA
Rfam family: Bacterial small subunit ribosomal RNA
Source: RNAcentral